GUGGGGAAUAUUGGACAAUGGGCGCAAGCCUGAUCCAGCAAUGCCGCGUGCAGGAAGAAGGCCUUCGGGUUGUAAACUGCUUUUGUACGGAACGAAACGGUCCGGGUUAAUACCCUGGGCUAAUGACGGUACCGUAAGAAUAAGCACCGGCUAACUACGUGCCAGCAGCCGCGGUAAUACGUAGGGUGCAAGCGUUAAUCGGAAUUACUGGGCGUAAAGCGUGCGCAGGCGGUUUUGUAAGACAGAUGUGAAAUCCCCGGGCUCAACCUGGGAACUGCAUUUGUGACUGCAUGACUGGAGUGCGGCAGAGGGGGAUGGAAUUCCGCGUGUAGCAGUGAAAUGCGUAGAUAUGCGGAGGAACACCGAUGGCGAAGGCAAUCCCCUGGGCCUGCACUGACGCUCAUGCACGAAAGCGUGGGGAGCAAACAGGAUUAGAAACCCGAGUAGUCC
This 450-nucleotide ribosomal RNA is filed under the name uncultured bacterium. Its description in RNAcentral is "partial 16S ribosomal RNA". It matches the Rfam family "Bacterial small subunit ribosomal RNA", at positions 354 to 796 of the family's 1533-position model. The record is from RNAcentral.